RNAcentral lists this transfer RNA (72 nucleotides) under Candidatus Scalindua sp. Its description in RNAcentral is "tRNA-OTHER". The record is from RNAcentral. Lineage: Bacteria; Pseudomonadati; Planctomycetota; Candidatus Brocadiia; Candidatus Brocadiales; Candidatus Scalinduaceae.
CGCGGGAAGGAUGUUGGCUUCCGGAAAGGACUCAUAACUCUUUCAACGCGGGUUCGAUCCCCGCUCCCGCUA